This 515-nucleotide ribosomal RNA is filed under the name Enterococcus faecalis. Its description in RNAcentral is "bacterial SSU rRNA". It matches the Rfam family "Bacterial small subunit ribosomal RNA", at positions 35 to 520 of the family's 1533-position model. The record is from RNAcentral. Lineage: Bacteria; Bacillati; Bacillota; Bacilli; Lactobacillales; Enterococcaceae.
GGGCGGGUGCCGGGCAGCUAUACAUGCAGUCGAACGCUUCUUUCCUCCCGAGUGCUUGCACUCAAUUGGAAAGAGGAGUGGCGGACGGGUGAGUAACACGUGGGUAACCUACCCAUCAGAGGGGGAUAACACUUGGAAACAGGUGCUAAUACCGCAUAACAGUUUAUGCCGCAUGGCAUAAGAGUGAAAGGCGCUUUCGGGUGUCGCUGAUGGAUGGACCCGCGGUGCAUUAGCUAGUUGGUGAGGUAACGGCUCACCAAGGCCACGAUGCAUAGCCGACCUGAGAGGGUGAUCGGCCACACUGGGACUGAGACACGGCCCAGACUCCUACGGGAGGCAGCAGUAGGGAAUCUUCGGCAAUGGACGAAAGUCUGACCGAGCAACGCCGCGUGAGUGAAGAAGGUUUUCGGAUCGUAAAACUCUGUUGUUAGAGAAGAACAAGGACGUUAGUAACUGAACGUCCCCUGACGGUAUCUAACCAGAAAGCCACGGCUAACUCUGUGCAGCAGCCGCAA